Molecule: ribosomal RNA, 253 nt
Filed under: uncultured bacterium
Lineage: Bacteria
Description: partial 16S ribosomal RNA
Rfam family: Bacterial small subunit ribosomal RNA
Source: RNAcentral
UACGUAGGGUGCGAGCGUUAAUCGGAAUUACUGGGCGUAAAGCGUGCGCAGGCGGUUCGUCGUGUCCGAUGUGAAAGCCCCGGGCUCAACCUGGGAAUGGCAUUGGAAACUGGCGGACUCGAGUGUGGCAGAGGGGGGUGGAAUUCCGCGUGUAGCAGUGAAAUGCGUAGAGAUGCGGAGGAACACCGAUGGCGAAGGCAGCCCCCUGGGCUGACACUGACGCUCAGGCACGAAAGCGUGGGGAGCAAACAGG